AUACUUUCCUGGCAGGGGAGAUAGCAGGAUAGCGAAGGUGGUUUUCCCAGAGUAAGACUUAUCAUCCAAUGUACUGCAAAUCUACUGACCGAUCCCUGCAUUUUCCACAAAUGUGGGAAAUUCAACCACACAAUUUACGACGGCAUGUGUGUGUGUGUGUGGGAUUCAUUCACAUU
RNAcentral lists this small nuclear RNA (176 nucleotides) under Mus spicilegus (steppe mouse). RNAcentral's name for it is "U1 spliceosomal RNA (ENSMSIG00000005428.1)". The record is from RNAcentral. Lineage: Eukaryota; Metazoa; Chordata; Mammalia; Rodentia; Muridae.